This 98-nucleotide ribosomal RNA is filed under the name Priestia aryabhattai. Its description in RNAcentral is "Bacillus aryabhattai partial 23S ribosomal RNA". It matches the Rfam family "Bacterial large subunit ribosomal RNA", at positions 2830 to 2925 of the family's 2925-position model. Lineage: Bacteria; Bacillati; Bacillota; Bacilli; Caryophanales; Bacillaceae. The record is from RNAcentral.
AAGAUCCCUGAAAGAUGAUCAGGUUGAUAGGUCAGAGGUGGAAGCACGGCGACGUGUGUAGCUGACUGAUACUAAUCGAUCGAGGACUUAACCAAAUU